Long non-coding RNA from Thalassophryne amazonica, 211 nucleotides. RefSeq lists it as uncharacterized. NCBI's taxonomy places the organism in Eukaryota, Metazoa, Chordata, Actinopteri, Batrachoidiformes, Batrachoididae. The transcript is spliced from 3 exons. The record is from RefSeq and is a predicted model, not a curated record.
UCUCUACCAUAAGUCGUCUCCAAAGGCAUUUCAGAGAAUUUGGCCGUACAUCCAACUGGCCUCACAACCGCAGAUCACAUGUAACCAACCAGCCCAGGACCUCCACAUUCAACAUGGUCAGCUCCUAGAUCGUCUGAAACCAGCCACCUGGACAACUGCUGCAACAGUCGGCUUGCAUAACAAAAGAAUUUCUGCACAAACUGUCAGAAAC